This 462-nucleotide ribosomal RNA is filed under the name Bacillus thuringiensis. Its description in RNAcentral is "bacterial SSU rRNA". It matches the Rfam family "Bacterial small subunit ribosomal RNA", at positions 78 to 523 of the family's 1533-position model. The record is from RNAcentral. Lineage: Bacteria; Bacillati; Bacillota; Bacilli; Caryophanales; Bacillaceae.
GCUUGCUCUUAUGAAGUUAGCGGCGGACGGGUGAGUAACACGUGGGUAACUGCCCAUAAGACUGGGAUAACUCCGGGAAACCGGGGCUAAUACCGGAUAACAUUUUGAACCGCAUGGUUCGAAAUUGAAAGGCGGCUUCGGCUGUCACUUAUGGAUGGACCCGCGUCGCAUUAGCUAGUUGGUGAGGUAACGGCUCACCAAGGCAACGAUGCGUAGCCGACCUGAGAGGGUGAUCGGCCACACUGGGACUGAGACACGGCCCAGACUCCUACGGGAGGCAGCAGUAGGGAAUCUUCCGCAAUGGACGAAAGUCUGACGGAGCAACGCCGCGUGAGUGAUGAAGGCUUUCGGGUCGUAAAACUCUGUUGUUAGGGAAGAACAAGUGCUAGUUGAAUAAGCUGGCACCUUGACGGUACCUAACCAGAAAGCCACGGCUAACUACGUGCCAGCAGCCGGCAAUUA